GGGGAAGUGGCGGAAUGGUAGACGCACAGGACUUAAAAUCCUGUAUUGGAGACAAUGUGUGGGUUCGAGUCCCAUCUUCCCCA
Bulleidia extructa W1219 is the source of this 83-nucleotide transfer RNA. It matches the Rfam family "tRNA". Rfam says of the family: Transfer RNA (tRNA) molecules are approximately 80 nucleotides in length. Their secondary structure includes four short double-helical elements and three loops (D, anti-codon, and T loops). The record is from Rfam. NCBI's taxonomy places the organism in Bacteria, Bacillati, Bacillota, Erysipelotrichia, Erysipelotrichales, Erysipelotrichaceae.